CCCGCGGCCGCGAGGGAGCCGGUGCGCUCGCGCCGCCAGCGGGGCGGUGCCUGAGCCCGUAAAUCCUGAGGGGAGCCGGGGGAUGAGCGGCCGCGGAAGGGAAAGCCUCCUCUGCGGGGCACCAAAAGCCCGGAGUGGGCGGCUGUCGAAGCUGCGGCACCGGGAGGGAUCUAGUGCUCCACGUGGAGCAGUUAAUUUCCAAACCGAUAGGAAGUACAUAAUAAUGGUGUACAUGACUUGCUUUUCCCGCUUAAAAUAGAAAGCACCAAUUUAUUCCUACUCUCAAGAAGAUUCAAGAAAUCUUCUGUGACAUAUUAUAAAUUUUAAUGGAGACUGAUUGCUCCGAGUUUGCUUCCAAUCUUUGUCAUGUGGCUCCUGCAAUAUGUAUUUGAGCCAGCUCAUAUGUAUGAGGUGCAAUAUGGCUAUGGAUGCUGAGGAACUGGCUUCACGAAGAGGAGAUAGCAAGUGCUAUCCAAGGCAGCAGGACAGAUCAGUCUACAGAAUGGUGCUCUCACCAGUGUCUGAGGUAGUCAACAGAACUGAAUUACUGGGUAUAUAUUUUUCCUACAAUGAGCUUUCUUCUUGUUUUGUGCAGUGA
This 598-nucleotide long non-coding RNA is filed under the name Cyanistes caeruleus (blue tit). RNAcentral's name for it is "lncRNA (ENSCCEG00000014258.1)". Lineage: Eukaryota; Metazoa; Chordata; Aves; Passeriformes; Paridae. The record is from RNAcentral.